This 441-nucleotide ribosomal RNA is filed under the name Vibrio sp. C129. RNAcentral describes it as "bacterial SSU rRNA". It matches the Rfam family "Bacterial small subunit ribosomal RNA", at positions 49 to 476 of the family's 1533-position model. Lineage: Bacteria; Pseudomonadati; Pseudomonadota; Gammaproteobacteria; Vibrionales; Vibrionaceae. The record is from RNAcentral.
UAACACAUGCAAGUCGAACGGCAGCGACAACAUUGAACCUUCGGGGGAUUUGUUGGGCGGCGAGCGGCGGACGGGUGAGUAAUGCCUGGGAAAUUGCCCUGAUGUGGGGGAUAACCAUUGGAAACGAUGGCUAAUACCGCAUGAUAGCUUCGGCUCAAAGAGGGGGACCUUCGGGCCUCUCGCGUCAGGAUAUGCCCAGGUGGGAUUAGCUAGUUGGUGAGGUAAGGGCUCACCAAGGCGACGAUCCCUAGCUGGUCUGAGAGGAUGAUCAGCCACACUGGAACUGAGACACGGUCCAGACUCCUACGGGAGGCAGCAGUGGGGAAUAUUGCACAAUGGGCGCAAGCCUGAUGCAGCCAUGCCGCGUGUAUGAAGAAGGCCUUCGGGUUGUAAAGUACUUUCAGCAGUGAGGAAGGAGGUAUCGUUAAUAGCGGUAUCUUU